This 490-nucleotide ribosomal RNA is filed under the name uncultured bacterium. RNAcentral's name for it is "partial 16S ribosomal RNA". It matches the Rfam family "Bacterial small subunit ribosomal RNA", at positions 28 to 507 of the family's 1533-position model. The record is from RNAcentral.
GAUGAACGCUAGCGAUAGGCUUAACACAUGCAAGUCGAGGGGCAGCAUGGUCUUAGCUUGCUAAGCCUGAUGGCGACCGGCGCACGGGUGCGUAACGCGUAUGCAACUUGCCUCACAGAGGGGGAUAACCCGUCGAAAGACGGACUAAUACCGCGUACACUUGGGAUAGGGCAUCCUGACCCAAGGAAAUGAAAUUCGCUGUGAGAUAGGCAUGCGUCCCAUUAGCUAGUUGGUGAGGUAACGGCUCACCAAGGCGACGAUGGGUAGGGGAACUGAGAGGUUGAACCCCCACACUGGUACUGAGACACGGACCAGACUCCUACGGGAGGCAGCAGUGAGGAAUAUUGGUCAAUGGGCGAGAGCCUGAACCAGCCAAGUCGCGUGAAGGAUGACUGUCUUAUGGAUUGUAAACUUCUUUUAUACGGGAAUAACAAGAGCCACGUGUGGCUCCCUGCAUGUACCGUAUGAAUAAGCAUCGGCUAACUCCGUG